GUUGAAGAGAGCAAUAUCAAGAUUGUUUCUUUCUUUUGCCAACACAGACUUCCGGAUGGCGUUAUCUCUUCGGCAUUCUCUUCGGCUUCUUUAUAUUUGAGACGGAGGUACCCGGAGACAGUGUUUACUUGCAGAUGACUAAUAUUAAUCGAUCAAUUCAGAUUGAUGGUCGAAUCUCAACUUCCUUUAGUCUGGUAUUUCACUCCUUCACCCAUCAGUUCCAUGAUGGAAUUAUUGCCGAACCAAUGAUCAUCGGUGUCGCCACAGCUUCGGGCCUAGAUUCAUAAGAAAAUGGUUUUUGUGGCGAAGGUCUGAGUCGUUCGGGAGGCGGUGAAAUAUUUGUUGUUGUAUGUCCGGCUGGAGCAGGUUCUUCAAUUGGACUUUCGAUCUUAAUUUAUGCUGCUAUUUGAUGUUCACCAGAUGGGCUUUGGUAAACCGUAUUUUGGUCCUUUAUUGGUCUUAUUAUAAUUCCUUUUGUCCUAAACCGAUGUCAUUUAUAGUUUCCU
RNAcentral lists this long non-coding RNA (506 nucleotides) under Panax ginseng (ginseng). RNAcentral's name for it is "long non-coding RNA (PGIN_LNC017213)". The record is from RNAcentral. Lineage: Eukaryota; Viridiplantae; Streptophyta; Magnoliopsida; Apiales; Araliaceae.